AUUAGGUCAUAUAACUGACGGAAGUGGGUUACCACAGGGGAGUAUGACCGGUAGCACGCCGACCGUCUGGGCAAAGAUU
RNAcentral lists this non-coding RNA (79 nucleotides) under Phascolarctobacterium succinatutens YIT 12067. RNAcentral's name for it is "Phascolarctobacterium sp. YIT 12067 ZMP/ZTP riboswitch aptamer (pfl RNA motif)". It matches the Rfam family "ZMP/ZTP riboswitch aptamer (pfl RNA motif)". From Rfam's summary of the family: Previously known as pfl RNA. ZMP is also known as AICAR. The record is from Rfam by way of RNAcentral. Lineage: Bacteria; Bacillati; Bacillota; Negativicutes; Acidaminococcales; Acidaminococcaceae. RNAcentral also lists the same sequence under 1 other name.